Molecule: ribosomal RNA, 599 nt
Filed under: Lophodermium conigenum
Lineage: Eukaryota; Fungi; Ascomycota; Leotiomycetes; Rhytismatales; Rhytismataceae
Description: partial large subunit ribosomal RNA
Rfam family: Eukaryotic large subunit ribosomal RNA
Source: RNAcentral
CGGAGGAAAAGAAACCAACAGGGAUUGCCUCAGUAACGGCGAGUGAAGCGGCAACAGCUCAAAUUUGAAAGCUGGCUCCUUCGGGGCCCGCGUUGUAAUUUGUAGAGGAUGCUUCGGGCGCGGUACCGGUCUAAGUUCUCUGGAACGAGACGUCAUAGAGGGUGAGAAUCCCGUAUGUGACCGGCUGCCUGUGCCCAUGUGAAGCUCCUUCGACGAGUCGAGUUGUUUGGGAAUGCAGCUCAAAAUGGGAGGUGUACUCCUUCUAAAGCUAAAUAUUGGCCAGAGACCGAUAGCGCACAAGUAGAGUGAUCGAAAGAUGAAAAGCACUUUGGAAAGAGAGUUAAACAGUACGUGAAAUUGUUGAAAGGGAAGCGCUUGCAAUCAGACUUGCGCGGCGUCGAUCAGCCCGGGUUCUCCCUGGUGCACUCGGCGCCGCUCAGGCCAGCAUCAGUUUCGGCGGUGGGAUAAAGGCCUAGGGAACGUGGGUCCCUUCGGGGACCGUUAUAGCCCUAGGUGCAAUGCCGCCUGCCGGGACUGAGGACCGCGCUUCGGCUAGGAUGCUGGCGUAAUGGUUGUAAGCGACCCGUCUUGAAAAACGG